Molecule: ribosomal RNA, 468 nt
Filed under: uncultured bacterium
Lineage: Bacteria
Description: partial 16S ribosomal RNA
Rfam family: Bacterial small subunit ribosomal RNA
Source: RNAcentral
GACGAACGCUGGCGGCGUGCUUAACACAUGCAAGUCGAACGGAAAGGCCCUGCUUUUGUUGGGGGCUCGGGGGGCGAGCGGGUGGGAAACACGUGUGUAACGUGCCCGUGACGUUCGGAUAUCGUGUGGAAACUGGGGAUAAUAGGGCAUAUGAGCGUCUGCACCGCGGUGUGGGGUGGGAAGUGUGGGCUGUUGGGGAUGGACUCGGGGCUUAUCAGCUUGUUGGUGGGGUUGUGGCUUACGAAGGCUGCGACGGCUAGCGGGCCUGAGAGGGUGGCCGGCGACACUGGGACUAAGCGACGGCCCAGACGCCUACGGGAGGAAGCAGUGGGGAGUAUUGCACAGUGGCAGGGAGCCUGAGGCGGCAACGCCGCGUUCGGGAUGACGGCCUUCGUGUGGUAAACAGCUUUCGCCUUUGAUGAAGCGUGAGUGACGGUAAUGGGUAAAGAAGCACCGGCUAACUACGUG